This 354-nucleotide ribosomal RNA is filed under the name uncultured bacterium. RNAcentral's name for it is "partial 16S ribosomal RNA". It matches the Rfam family "Bacterial small subunit ribosomal RNA", at positions 338 to 684 of the family's 1533-position model. The record is from RNAcentral.
CCUACGGGUGGCAGCAGUGGGGAAUAUUGCGCAAUGGGCGAACGCCUGACGCAGCGACGCCGCGUGAGUGAUGAAGGUCUUCGGAUCGUAAACCUCUGUCAGCAGGGAAGAACGGUCACUGUGCUAAUCAGCAGUGAAUUGACGGUACCUGCAAAGGAAGCAACGGCUAACUCCGUGCCAGCAGCCGCGGUAAUACGUAGGGUGCGAGCGUUAAUCGGAAUUACUGGGCGUAAAGCGCUAGUAGGCGGUAUUGCAAGUCAAGGGUGAAAUCCCCGGGCUGAACGUGGGAACGGCCUUUGAAACUGGCAAACUGGAGUGUGUGAGAGGAGAGUGGAAUUCCAGGUGUAGGAGUGA